RNAcentral lists this ribosomal RNA (1218 nucleotides) under metagenome. Its description in RNAcentral is "bacterial LSU rRNA". It matches the Rfam family "Bacterial large subunit ribosomal RNA", at positions 1590 to 2818 of the family's 2925-position model. The record is from RNAcentral.
GUAGUGGAUGUCAUACUUCCAAGAAAAGCUUGCACUGUCAUAAAUAAAAGACGCCUGUACCAUAACCGACACAGGUGGGUAGGUAGAGUAUACUAAGGGGCGCGAGAUAACUCUCUCUAAGGAACUCGGCAAAAUAACUCCGUAACUUCGGGAGAAGGAGUGCCUUAUUCGUAAGGCUGCAAUAACAAGAUCCAAGCAACUGUUUAUCAAAAACACAGGUCUCCGCUAAGUCGUAAGACGAUGUAUGGGGGCUGACGCCUGCCCAGUGCCAGAAGGUUAAAGAAGUCGGUUAGCAUUAGCGAAGCUGGUAACUGAAGCCCUGGUGAACGGCGGCCGUAACAAUAACGGUCCUAAGGUAGCGAAAUUCCUUGUCGGGUAAGUUCCGACCCGCACGAAAGGCGUAAUGAUUUGGAUACUGUCUCGGAGAGGGGCUCGGUGAAAUAGACUUGUCUUGAAGAUGCGGACUACCUGCACCAGGACAGAAAGACCCUAUGAAGCUUUACUGUAACUUGAAAUUGAAAUUGGACUUUAUUCGCGCAGUAUAGGUGGGAGGUGUUGAUUAUAAUCUUGCGGGAUUAUUGGAGCCAUCAGUGAGAUACCACUCUUGUAAUGUUAGAUUUCUAACUUUGAAUCAUUAUCUGGUCAAAGAACAGUUUCAGGCGGGCAGUUUGACUGGGGCGGUCGCCUCCUAAAUGGUAACGGAGGCGUACAAAGGUUUCCUCUGAACGGGUAGAAAUCGUAUCUAGAGUGUAAAGGCAUAAGGAAGCUUGACUGUGAGACCUACAAGUCGAGCAGGGACGAAAGUCGGUCUUAGUGAACUGACGGUACUGAGUGGAAAGGCCGUCACUCAACGGAUAAAAGUUACUCUAAGGAUAACAGGCUGAUCUCCCCCAAGAGUUCACAUCGACGGGGAGGUUUGGCACCUCGAUGUCGGCUCAUCGCAUCCUGGGGCGGUAGUACGUCCCAAGGGUUGGGCUGUUCGCCCAUGAAAGCGGUACGCGAGCUGGGUUCAGAACGUCGUGAGACAGUUCGGUCCAUAUCCGGUGUAGGCGUUAGAAUAUUGAGAGGAGCCUUCUUUAGUACGAGAGGACCGAGAAGGACAUACCUCUGGUGUACCAGUUAUCGUGCCAACGGUAAACGCUGGGUAGCUAUGUAUGGAGUGGAUAACCGCUGAAAGCAUCUAAGUGGGAAGCCCACCUCAAGAUAAGUAUUCUCAUC